CAGCAGCCGCGGUAACACGUAGGUGGCAAGCGUUGUCCGGAAUUAUUGGGCGUAAAGGGCUCGCAGGCGGUUUCUUAAGUCUGAUGUGAAAGCCCCCGGCUGAACCGGGGAGGGUCAUUGGAAACUGGGAAGCUUGAGUGCAGAAGAGGAGAGUGGAAUUCCACGUGUAGCGGUGAAAUGCGUAGAGAUGUGGAGGAACACCAGUGGCGAAGGCGACUCUCUGGUCUGUAACUGACGCUGAGGAGCGAAAGCGUGGGGAGCGAACAGGAUUAGAUACCCCCGUAGUCCCUGUCUCUUAUAC
This 301-nucleotide ribosomal RNA is filed under the name uncultured bacterium. RNAcentral describes it as "partial 16S ribosomal RNA". It matches the Rfam family "Bacterial small subunit ribosomal RNA", at positions 509 to 807 of the family's 1533-position model. The record is from RNAcentral.